CCAUAGUAAAAUAAAUUACACAGCCUUUUCACGGCUGAAUUCCCUCAGAGAGGGUGAUUAAA
Molecule: transfer RNA, 62 nt
Filed under: Arctonoe vittata
Lineage: Eukaryota; Metazoa; Annelida; Polychaeta; Phyllodocida; Polynoidae
Description: tRNA-Glu
Source: RNAcentral